This is a non-coding RNA of Bos taurus (domestic cattle), 72 nucleotides long. Lineage: Eukaryota; Metazoa; Chordata; Mammalia; Artiodactyla; Bovidae. The record is from Rfam.
UCCCUAGUGGCUCAAAUGGUAAAGAAUCUGCCUACGAUGCAGGAGAUCCAGGCUCAAUCCCUGGUUUGGAAA